UACGUAGGGUGCGAGCGUUGUCCGGAAUUAUUGGGCGUAAAGGGCUCGUAGGCGGUUUGUCACGUCGGGAGUGAAAACUCGGGGCUUAACCCCGAGCCUGCUUCCGAUACGGGCUGACUAGAGGUAUGCAGGGGAGAACGGAAUUCCUGGUGUAGCGGUGAAAUGCGCAGAUAUCAGGAGGAACACCGGUGGCGAAGGCGGUUCUCUGGGCAUUACCUGACGCUGAGGAGCGAAAGUGUGGGGAGCGAACAUG
RNAcentral lists this ribosomal RNA (253 nucleotides) under uncultured bacterium. RNAcentral's name for it is "partial 16S ribosomal RNA". It matches the Rfam family "Bacterial small subunit ribosomal RNA", at positions 524 to 776 of the family's 1533-position model. The record is from RNAcentral.